This 1488-nucleotide ribosomal RNA is filed under the name uncultured bacterium. RNAcentral describes it as "16S ribosomal RNA". It matches the Rfam family "Bacterial small subunit ribosomal RNA". The record is from RNAcentral.
UUAGAGUUUGAUCCUGGCUCAGAAUGAACGUUGGCGGCGUGGAUUAGGCAUGCAAGUCGAUGCGAGGCUCCCGCAAGGGAGUAGUAGCAUGGCGCAAGGGGCAGUAAUGCGUCGGCAACCUGCCCCCCGGUCUGGGAUAGACGGCGGAAACGCCGGGCAAUACCGGACGCCGCCCGAAAGAGGCCUCUCUUUCGGGUGAAAGGGCAACCGCCGGGGGAGGGACUGACGGCCUAUCAGCUUGUUGGCGAGGUAACGGCUCACCAAGGCGAUGACGGGUAGGGGGUGUGAGAGCACGACCCCCGCCACUGGCACUGAGACACUGGCCAGACUCCUACGGGAGGCUGCAGUCGAGAAUCUUCGGCAAUGGGCGCAAGCCUGACCGAGCGACGCCGCGUGGCGGAAGAAGGCCUUCGGGUUGUAAACGCCUGUUGGGGGGGAGCAAACCUGAGCGAACCCCUGAGGAAGCACGGGCUAAGUUCGUGCCAGCAGCCGCGGUAAGACGAACCGUGCGAACGUUAUUCGGAAUCAUUGGGCUUAAAGGGCGCGUAGGCGGCGGCUUAAGUGGGAGGGUAAAUCCUGGCGGCUCAACCGCGGGUGUCCCUCCCAUACUGGGUCGCUCUGAGGCAGGUAGGGGCCGGCGGAACUUCCGGUGGAGCGGUGAAAUGUGUUGAGAUCGGAAGGAACGCCUGUGGCGAAAGCGGCCGGCUGGACCUGUUCCUGACGCUGAGGCGCGAAAGCCAGGGGAGCAAACGGGAUUAGAUACCCCGGUAGUCCUGGCCUUAACGAUGGGCACUGGGUAGGGAGCGUGCCGAUGACGCCCCCUGCCGCAGCGAAAGUGUUAAGUGCCCCGCCUGGGGAGUAUGGCCGCAAGGCUGAAACUCAAAGGAAUUGACGGGGGCUCACACCAGCGGUGGAGCAUGUGGCUUAAUUCGAGGCUACGCGAAGAACCUUAUCCCAGACUUGACAUGUGCGGAUUAGCCGCUGGAAACAGCGGUGACGCCCGCAAGGGUGGAACGCACACAGGUGCUGCAUGGCUGUCGUCAGCUCGUGUUGUGAGAUGUCGGGUUAAGUCCCUUAACGAGCGAAACCCUUGUCCUUAGUUACCAGCGGGUUAUGCCGGGCACUCUAAGGAGACUGCCGGUGUCAAGCCGGAGGAAGGCGGGGAUGACGUCAAGUCCUCAUGGCCCUUAUGUCUGGGGCUGCACACGUGCUACAAUGGGGGGUACAAAGGGAAGCUAGCCGGCAACGGCACGCCAAUCCCAAAAAGCCUCCCCCAGUUCGGAUCGCGGGCUGCAACCCGCCCGCGUGAAGUUGGAAUCGCUAGUAAUCGCGGGUCAGCCAUACCGCGGUGAAUGUGUUCCUGAGCCUUGUACACACCGCCCGUCAAGCCACGAAAGCGGGGGGCGUCCGAAGUCGCUGUGCUAACCGCAAGGGGGCAGGCGCCGAAGACGAAACCCGUGAUUGGGACUAAGUCGUAACAAGGUAACC